UACGGAGGGUGCAAGCGUUAUCCGGAUUUACUGGGUUUAAAGGGUGCGUAGGAGGGCAGGUAAGUCAGUGGUGAAAUCCUGGGGCUUAACCCCAGAACUGCCGUUGAUACUAUCUGUCUUGAAUAUUGUGGAGGUGAGCGGAAUAUGUCAUGUAGCGGUGAAAUGCUUAGAUAUGACAUAGAACACCAAUUGCGAAGGCAGCUCGCUACACAUAUAUUGACACUGAGGCACGAAAGCGUGGGGAUCAAACAGG
This 253-nucleotide ribosomal RNA is filed under the name uncultured bacterium. RNAcentral's name for it is "partial 16S ribosomal RNA". It matches the Rfam family "Bacterial small subunit ribosomal RNA", at positions 524 to 776 of the family's 1533-position model. The record is from RNAcentral.